RNAcentral lists this ribosomal RNA (484 nucleotides) under Staphylococcus aureus. Its description in RNAcentral is "bacterial SSU rRNA". It matches the Rfam family "Bacterial small subunit ribosomal RNA", at positions 1049 to 1533 of the family's 1533-position model. The record is from RNAcentral. Lineage: Bacteria; Bacillati; Bacillota; Bacilli; Caryophanales; Staphylococcaceae.
UUGUCGUCAGCUCGUGUCGUGAGAUGUUGGGUUAAGUCCCGCAACGAGCGCAACCCUUAAGCUUAGUUGCCAUCAUUAAGUUGGGCACUCUAAGUUGACUGCCGGUGACAAACCGGAGGAAGGUGGGGAUGACGUCAAAUCAUCAUGCCCCUUAUGAUUUGGGCUACACACGUGCUACAAUGGACAAUACAAAGGGCAGCGAAACCGCGAGGUCAAGCAAAUCCCAUAAAGUUGUUCUCAGUUCGGAUUGUAGUCUGCAACUCGACUACAUGAAGCUGGAAUCGCUAGUAAUCGUAGAUCAGCAUGCUACGGUGAAUACGUUCCCGGGUCUUGUACACACCGCCCGUCACACCACGAGAGUUUGUAACACCCGAAGCCGGUGGAGUAACCUUUUAGGAGCUAGCCGUCGAAGGUGGGACAAAUGAUUGGGGUGAAGUCGUAACAAGGUAGCCGUAUCGGAAGGUGCGGCUGGAUCACCUCCUUU